RNAcentral lists this ribosomal RNA (241 nucleotides) under uncultured bacterium. RNAcentral's name for it is "partial 16S ribosomal RNA". It matches the Rfam family "Bacterial small subunit ribosomal RNA", at positions 92 to 334 of the family's 1533-position model. The record is from RNAcentral.
CGACCGGCGCACGGGUGCGUAACGCGUAUGCAACCUACCUUUAACAGGGGGAUAACACUGAGAAAUUGGUACUAAUACCCCAUAAUAUCAUAGAAGGCAUCUUUUAUGGUUGAAAAUUCCGAUGGUUAGAGAUGGGCAUGCGUUGUAUUAGCUAGUUGGUGGGGUAACGGCUCACCAAGGCGACGAUACAUAGGGGGACUGAGAGGUUAACCCCCCACAUUGGUACUGAGACACGGCCCAG